This 478-nucleotide ribosomal RNA is filed under the name uncultured organism. RNAcentral's name for it is "partial 16S ribosomal RNA". It matches the Rfam family "Bacterial small subunit ribosomal RNA", at positions 332 to 801 of the family's 1533-position model. The record is from RNAcentral.
CGUACUCCUACGGGAGGCAGCAGUGGGGAAUAUUGCACAAUGGGCGCAAGCCUGAUGCAGCCAUGCCGCGUGUAUGAAGAAGGCCUUCGGGUUGUAAAGUACUUUCAGCGGGGAGGAAGGCAAUACGGUUAAUAACCGUGUUGAUUGACGUUACCCGCAGAAGAAGCACCGGCUAACUCCGUGCCAGCAGCCGCGGUAAUACGGAGGGUGCAAGCGUUAAUCGGAAUUACUGGGCGUAAAGCGCACGCAGGCGGUCUGUCAAGUCGGAUGUGAAAUCCCCGGGCUCAACCUGGGAACUGCAUUCGAAACUGGCAGGCUUGAGUCUUGUAGAGGGGGGUAGAAUUCCAGGUGUAGCGGUGAAAUGCGUAGAGAUCUGGAGGAAUACCGGUGGCGAAGGCGGCCCCCUGGACAAAGACUGACGCUCAGGUGCGAAAGCGUGGGGAGCAAACAGGAUUAGAUACCCUUGUAGUCCCAUGAU